CAAUAGCGUAUAUUAAAGUUGUUGCGGUAAAAAGGCUCGUAGUUGGAUUUCUGUUGAGAGCGACCGGUCCAUACCAUGUAUGCGUAUCUGGCUUGCUCUCGGCAUCCUCUCGAUAGACGUUACUGCGCUUGAUUGCGUGGUGCGGAUCUCGGGACUUUUACUUUGAGGAAAUUAGAGUGUUCACGGCAGGCUUUCGCCAGAAUACAUUAGCAUGGAAUAAUACUAUAGGAUCUUGGUUCUAUUUUGUUGGUUUCUAGAAUUGAGAUAAUGAUUAAUAGGGACAAUUGGGGGCAUUCGUAUCAACACGUCAGAGGUGGAAUUCUUGGAUUGUGUUGCGACGAACUACUGCGAAAGCAUUUGCCAAGGAUGUUUUCAUUGA
This 379-nucleotide ribosomal RNA is filed under the name uncultured eukaryote. Its description in RNAcentral is "partial 18S ribosomal RNA". It matches the Rfam family "Eukaryotic small subunit ribosomal RNA", at positions 592 to 976 of the family's 1831-position model. The record is from RNAcentral.